UGGCUUCACAAUACUCAUUCCAUCU
Molecule: non-coding RNA, 25 nt
Filed under: Rattus norvegicus (Norway rat)
Lineage: Eukaryota; Metazoa; Chordata; Mammalia; Rodentia; Muridae
Source: RNAcentral